This 1461-nucleotide ribosomal RNA is filed under the name metagenome. RNAcentral describes it as "bacterial LSU rRNA". It matches the Rfam family "Bacterial large subunit ribosomal RNA", at positions 1435 to 2925 of the family's 2925-position model. The record is from RNAcentral.
AUUCCAGCACCAUGAACGGGUCGUUUGUACGAUGCAGGGACGCAGGAAGGUAGGGACGCAGGGCUAUGGAAUGUCCUGUGCAAGGUUUCAAGGGUGUGAGCCAGGGAAGUCCGGUUCGCAUGAGCCCGAGGAGUCUGACGAAAAGUCCUGAUCCUACACUGCCGAGAAAAGUGCUAAGGAGAUCCGUUUGUGACCGUACCGCAAACCGACACAGGUAGUCGAGGAGAGAAUCCUCAGGCGUUUGAGAGAACUCUGCUGAAGGAACUCGGCAAAUUAACCCCGUAACUUCGGGAGAAGGGGUACCACGGUAGGGUUUAUAGCCCGAGGUGGUGGCACAUAAACGUCCCAGGCGACUGUUUAACAAAAACACAGGUCUCUGCAAACUCCAAAGAGGAGGUAUAGGGGCUGACGCCUGCCUGGUGCCGGAAGGUCAAGAGGAGCGGUCAGCGCAAGCGAAGCUGCGAAUUUAAGCCCCGGUGAACGGCGGCCGUAACAAUAACGGUCCUAAGGUAGCGAAAUUCCUUGUCGGGUAAGUUCCGACCUGCACGAAUGGCGUAACGAUCUGGGAACUGUCUCCAGCAGAGACUCAGCGAACUUGUAGCACCGGUGAAGAUGCCGGUUACCCGCACUUAGACGGAAAGACCCCGUGCACCUUUACUACACCUUGACAUUGAGGUUGGCAUUGUGCUGUGCAGGAUAGGUGGGAGGCUUUGAAGCUGGCUCGUUAGGGUCGGUGGAGCCAUCGUUGAGAUACCACCCUGCGCAAUGCUGAUCUCUAACUCGCGCCCGUAAUCCGGGUGGAAGACAGUGUCAGGCGGGUAGUUUGACUGGGGCGGUCGCCUCCUAAAGCGUAACGGAGGCGUACAAAGGUUCCCUCAGGCUGUUUGGAAAUCAGCCGCAGAGCGCAAUGGUAUAAGGGAGCUUGACUGCGAGACACACACGUCGAGCAGAUGCGAAAGCAGGUCAUAGUGAUCCGGUGGUUCCGAAUGGAAGGGCCAUCGCUCAACGGAUAAAAGGUACGCCGGGGAUAACAGGCUGAUCUUGCCCAAGAGUUCAUAUCGACGGCAAGGUUUGGCACCUCGAUGUCGACUCAUCGCAUCCUGGGGCUGAAGCAGGUCCCAAGGGUUCGGCUGUUCGCCGAUCAAUAGCGGUACGUGAGUUGGGUUCAGAACGUCGCGAGACAGUUCGGUCCCUAUCUAGUGUGGGCGUAGGAUAUUUGAGAGGACCUGUCCUUAGUACGAGAGGACCGGGAUGGACUGACCUCUGGUGUUCCAGUUGUGUUUCCAAAUGCAAUGCUGGGUAGCUAUGUCGGGAAGUGAGAAGCGCUGAAAGCAUCUAAGCGCGAAACACCCCUCAAGAUGAGAUAUCCCCAUGAGACCCGUUGUAGACGACGACGUUGAUAGGUCGCAUGUGCAAGCGCGGUAACGCGUUCAGCUGAGCGAUACUAAUAGGUCCGAAAAA